AUGGCAGCAGCGCCGCCGCCACUCCCGGAGGAGAUCCUCCUCCGCCUCCCGCCCGACGACCCGGCCUGCCUCCUCCGCGCCUCCCUCCUCUGCAAGGCCUGGGGCUGCGCCGUCUCCCGCCCCCACUUCCGCCGCCGCCUCCACGAGCUCCACCGGGCACCCCCCGUGCUCGGCUUCCUCCACGGCUGCGACGACGACCGCGUCCCCCACUUCACCCCCACCACCGCGUCGUCCUUCUCCCUCGCCGCUCCGGACUCCCGCUCCUGGCGGGCCCUCGACUGCCGCCACGGCCGCGCCCUCUUCCUCUCCAAGGGUGACGCACAGGAACUCCUCCUGUGGGAGCCAACCACGGGCGCCCAGCAGCGCGUGCCGGUGCCCUUCGCGUACGAUGACAUCCGCCGGGACGAGGAGCUGACAGUGUACGCCACCGCGGCCGUGUUCUGCGCAGCCGACGGGUGUGACCACCGGGACUGCUUCAGAGGCCCUUUCGGCGUGUUAUUCGUCUUCUGCGUCGAGCAAGACGGUGACGGUGACAACGGGGUGUGUGUCACGUUGACGCUCCUAUACUCGUCGGAAACCGACUGCUGGGAUGAGCUGCGCUGGAUUUUCCAUGACUUGCCCAUGUGUUUUACAUUUUCUUCCAGCGUGCUUGUUGGGAGGUCUCUGCUCUACUUCAUGUCUGAUGAUGGGUUCAUCCUAGAGUAUGAUUUGGCACGGCAUCGCCUGGCCAUUUUGGACCCACCGAACUAUGAGUCGAUCUAUGAUGCCCGAUAUAACAUCAUGCUGGCGGAGGACGGUGGACUGGGAGUUAGCCAAGAGAUGAAUCCGCAUCUCAAAUUGUGGACAAGGGUGAUUGAAGGCGCCGAUGACCGAUGGGUACUGAGCCGGGUCAUUUACUUGCAAAAUUUGCUCCCAGAUGGUGCCCUCAUGGAGCCAGCAAGUUCAUUGUAUGUGUUGGGCUUUGCUGAGGGAGCAAAUGUCAUUUUCAUGACCACGGUUGCUGGCCUCUUCACGAUUGAACUACCAUCAGAGCGGGUGAGGGUGUGUGAUGAUCAUGGCUUAUGUAAUUUGAUUCCAAUUGUUAGCUUCUACACUCCUGUGCCCCGAGGUGAGCAAAAGGAUCCAUCGUUUGGACCCAGUGAGGGUGCGGGUGAUCAGGAGGGAGGAGGGGAGGAGGAGGAGAACACAGUAGGUCAGGCACAUCAGUUGUUUGACAAUGGGUCCAACAUUAUCAAGGAGGGGGGCUUUGUGGGCGCCUUCGGUUACACCAGCCAUGACCUCGAGAAUAGGGUUCCACCAAACGGAGAAGUUGUUUUGGAGUCUACAGACAUGGGUGUAGCGCUAUACGAAGCUCGAGAGGUGACUGGUCCUUUGGGUGGUGUUCCGAAGACUGCAUGA
Molecule: ribosomal RNA, 1398 nt
Filed under: Triticum aestivum (bread wheat)
Lineage: Eukaryota; Viridiplantae; Streptophyta; Magnoliopsida; Poales; Poaceae
Description: partial small subunit ribosomal RNA
Source: RNAcentral